UACGUAGGGUGCAAGCGUUAAUCGGAAUUACUGGGCGUAAAGCGUGCGCAGGCGGUUAUGUAAGACAGGUGUGAAAUCCCCGGGCUUAACCUGGGAACUGCAUUUGUGACUGUAGAGCUGGAGUGCGGCAGAGGGGGAUGGAAUUCCGCGUGUAGCAGUGAAAUGCGUAGAUAUGCGGAGGAACACCGAUGGCGAAGGCAAUCCCCUGGGCCUGCACUGACGCUCAUGCACGAAAGCGUGGGGAGCAAACAGG
Molecule: ribosomal RNA, 253 nt
Filed under: uncultured bacterium
Lineage: Bacteria
Description: partial 16S ribosomal RNA
Rfam family: Bacterial small subunit ribosomal RNA
Source: RNAcentral